UUUGAUUAAUGAUGUCAGAAAGAGGUAAGAUAUAAAUAAUUCAUAUAAUCCUUAACUAUAUUUUGGACCUUCGAUGCAGUUAGGGUGUUUAUACUAUUCAUUCUCGAAUGUUUCUAUUUACGUUUGGUUAAUGAUGUCAGAAAGAGGUAAGAUAGAAAUAAUUCAUGAUAAUCCUUAACUAUAUUUUGGACCUUCGAUGCAAUUAGAGUUUCUAUACUAUUCAUUCUUGAAUGUUUUUAUUUACGUUUGGUUAAUGAUGUCAGAAAGAGGUACCCCCCUUCCCAAAAGAAAACUGGAUAUCUGCAACAACUAGAAACAAAU
RNAcentral lists this long non-coding RNA (321 nucleotides) under Brassica rapa (field mustard). Its description in RNAcentral is "long non-coding RNA (BRAP_LNC003038)". Lineage: Eukaryota; Viridiplantae; Streptophyta; Magnoliopsida; Brassicales; Brassicaceae. The record is from RNAcentral.